This 271-nucleotide ribosomal RNA is filed under the name uncultured bacterium. Its description in RNAcentral is "partial 16S ribosomal RNA". It matches the Rfam family "Bacterial small subunit ribosomal RNA", at positions 84 to 353 of the family's 1533-position model. The record is from RNAcentral.
UCUGGUUUCUAGUGGCGGACGGGUGAGUAACGCGUGGGUAACCUGCCUUAUACAGGGGGAUAACAACCAGAAAUGGUUGCUAAUACCGCAUAAGCGCACAGGACCGCAUGGUCCGGUGUGAAAAACUCCGGUGGUAUAAGAUGGACCCGCGUUGGAUUAGCUAGUUGGCAGGGUAACGGCCUACCAAGGCGACGAUCCAUAGCCGGCCUGAGAGGGUGAACGGCCACAUUGGGACUGAGACACGGCCCAGACUCCUACGGGAGGCAGCAUG